AACGGACGCUGGCGGCAUGCCUAACACAUGCAAGUCGAACGAGACCUUCGGGUCUAGUGGCGCACGGGUGCGUAACGCGUGGGAACCUGCCCUUAGGUUCGGAAUAACUCCCCGAAAGGGGUGCUAAUACCGGAUAAUGUCUUCGGACCAAAGAUUUAUCGCCUUUGGAUGGGCCCGCGUUGGAUUAGCUAGUUGGUAGUGUAAAAGCCUACCAAGGCGACGAUCCAUAGCUGGUCUGAGAGGAUGAUCAGCCACACUGGGACUGAGACACGGCCCAGACUCCUACGGGAGGCAGCAGUGGGGAAUAUUGGACAAUGGGCGAAAGCCUGAUCCAGCAAUGCCGCGUGAGUGAUGAAGGCCUUAGGGUUGUAAAGCUCUUUUACCCGGGAUGAUAAUGACAGUACCGGGAGAAUAAGCGCCGGCUAACUCCGUG
RNAcentral lists this ribosomal RNA (433 nucleotides) under uncultured bacterium. RNAcentral's name for it is "partial 16S ribosomal RNA". It matches the Rfam family "Bacterial small subunit ribosomal RNA", at positions 29 to 507 of the family's 1533-position model. The record is from RNAcentral.